Molecule: ribosomal RNA, 465 nt
Filed under: uncultured bacterium
Lineage: Bacteria
Description: partial 16S ribosomal RNA
Rfam family: Bacterial small subunit ribosomal RNA
Source: RNAcentral
CUACGGGGGGCUGCAGUGAGGAAUAUUGCGCAAUGGGGGAAACCCUGACGCAGCGACGCCGCGUGGAUGAUGAAGGCCUUCGGGUCGUAAAAUCCUGUCAGAAGGAAAGAAGUGUAUGGUAGCUAAUAUCUGCCAUACUUGACGGUACCCUCAAAGGAAGCACCGGCUAACUCCGUGCCAGCAGCCGCGGUAAUACGGAGGGUGCAAGCGUUGUUCGGAAUUACUGGGCGUAAAGCGCGCGUAGGCGGUUUUAUAAGUCAGAUGUGAAAGUCCACGGCUCAACCAUGGAGGUGCAUUUGAAACUGUAAGACUUGAGUAUGGGAGGGGGUAGUGGAAUUCCCGGUGUAGAGGUGAAAUUCGUAGAUAUCGAGAGGAAUACCGGUGGCGAAGGCGACUAUCUGGCCAAAUACUGACGCUGAGGUGCGAAAGCGUGGGGAGCAAACAGGAUUAGAUACCCCUGUAGUC